GCUUAAUUUGACUCAACACGGGGAAACUUACCAGGUCCAGACAUAGUAAGGAUUGACAGACUGAGAGCUCUUUCUUUUUUUUGAUCAAAUGUUAGAAGUAUAUAGAUCAAAAAGUUCAGACUAGC
Populus trichocarpa (black cottonwood) is the source of this 125-nucleotide non-coding RNA. The record is from Rfam. Lineage: Eukaryota; Viridiplantae; Streptophyta; Magnoliopsida; Malpighiales; Salicaceae.